Molecule: transfer RNA, 87 nt
Filed under: Candidatus Omnitrophota bacterium
Lineage: Bacteria; Pseudomonadati; Candidatus Omnitrophota
Description: tRNA-Leu
Rfam family: tRNA
About the family: Transfer RNA (tRNA) molecules are approximately 80 nucleotides in length. Their secondary structure includes four short double-helical elements and three loops (D, anti-codon, and T loops). Further hydrogen bonds mediate the characteristic L-shaped molecular structure. tRNAs have two regions of fundamental functional importance: the anti-codon, which is responsible for specific mRNA codon recognition, and the 3' end, to which the tRNAs corresponding amino acid is attached (by aminoacyl-tRNA synthetases). tRNAs cope with the degeneracy of the genetic code in two manners: having more than one tRNA (with a specific anti-codon) for a particular amino acid; and 'wobble' base-pairing, i.e. permitting non-standard base-pairing at the 3rd anti-codon position.
Source: RNAcentral
GCCGGGAUGCUGGAAUUGGCAUACAGGUCGGUCUCAAAAACCGAUGUCCGUAAGGAUGUGUGGGUUCAACUCCCUCUCCCGGCACCA